This is a long non-coding RNA of Brassica rapa (field mustard), 834 nucleotides long. RefSeq lists it as uncharacterized. The record is from RefSeq and is a predicted model, not a curated record. Lineage: Eukaryota; Viridiplantae; Streptophyta; Magnoliopsida; Brassicales; Brassicaceae.
CUUGAAGUUAUACCAGAAAGGCCUUGCGAAGUGACCCACCAAAGAGGUCUUUGUAGAAACCUACAGAUUCAAUACUAAAAGUAUCUGGAAAACUAAAACGUGAUUUCUCAAGCUAGAAAUGAAGAUCGAGGGGAAAGUACAUACGGAUUUAAACGCGGAGACGGAAGCUGUGUGGAGUUCGCGGCGGCGGAGAGCACGUAGAAGCGCGACGGAGGCCAUUUUUGGUUGGAGAGAGAGUCGGUGGAGAAAGAAGGGUUUAAGCUCGGAGAUGGGACACGCACAACGUGUAGGGUUUAACCAUUUAUAGGAAAAGCCCCGUGGGCUACAAGUCAUUUUCUGGGCCUUGUAUGGGCUUUUUGACAUCAUAGCCCAACUCUAAAUAUACGUACCUCAUAUUUAGUGAUUAUGAUUUGUUACGAUUCUAGAAUAAUUACCUUAGUUAUGACUUAUGCGGAUUGAUAAUUAAGAGUUUCAAACAUAGCAUAUGACCAUAUAUGUAUAUACAUAUGUUACUUGUAGCAUGAGAAAAUGAAAAAGCAUUUCAUAAACCCAUAUACAAAAGAUCAUCUUGUUUUGAUAUCUCUCUUCUUUCUCCAUAGUUUUGGUAUAGAGUUGUUUUCACUAUGCAUCUUCUUGAGGCUGGUCGUCUCCACCACCUUCAAUGUUGCUGGUGUUGAAUUGAACACGAGGCUUGCCCAUACUGAAAUUAAGAACUCUUGCAUCCAUGUUGUAUUGUAUCUCUCCAUCAAACAACAUCUUCCUUAUGUAAUGCUCUACGUCUGAUCCUAUCAACCUUAGUGUAUACUCUGUCAAUGGUGCUCCCUGUCCAAAAAA